CAACAUGUAGAUAUGGUCUUUCAUAAAAGCAAGGAAAUAAAUCCAUUUUAUUGUUGAACAUUUAAUACUGUAAAAGCAUAUCAAAAAUUGAACGCAUAAGGAAUUGAAUAAAGAAAAAAAAUUAAUGUUGUGGAAAGACCAAAAAAACCUCGACAAAAAUCUACUCAAACUUAGAAUGAUGCAUGCAGAAGUAUUAUAAAUAGAGGUUAAUUUCUUGAGAAUUUAUAUGACAAUCAAAAGAUAAAAAUAAGAGAGAGAAAAUAGAACAAAGUUUAUAUUUAGGAUCUAAAAAUGGCAAAAUGGAGUGCGGUGGUAGUAGUGAUAAUGAUGUUGGUGACUGUUAUGGUGGUCACCGUAGAAUCAAACAAAGCAACCGGUUGGAUGCGUUGUUUCCGCAGAUGUUCUGUACCUUGUGAAGAUCAGGAUGGUAACUGUUUUGAAUGUUGUAAAAUCAAAUGUGGUGGUCCAAACCCUCCUCAUGGUCCAGGAGGACCGCCUUCUCAUAGUUUCCGACGAACUUCAUAUGGGAUGGCAUAUGUGGACGUUUGCAAAAAGAAAGAAUGAUAAGGGAUGUUUUCCGGAAGAAUUGUGAUCAUUUUAUUAUUAUUACUAUAAUAUAAAAAAAUUAAUUAGGAGAAUUCUACUUUAUCUCAUAUUUGAUACUCAUUUUCAAAUUUAAUUUUAAAUGAUAGCAACUUUUAUAAA
Long non-coding RNA from Brassica oleracea var. oleracea, 705 nucleotides. RefSeq lists it as uncharacterized. The transcript is spliced from 2 exons. NCBI's taxonomy places the organism in Eukaryota, Viridiplantae, Streptophyta, Magnoliopsida, Brassicales, Brassicaceae. The record is from RefSeq and is a predicted model, not a curated record.